This 779-nucleotide long non-coding RNA is filed under the name Lepisosteus oculatus (spotted gar). Its description in RNAcentral is "lncRNA (ENSLOCG00000022524.1)". The record is from RNAcentral. Lineage: Eukaryota; Metazoa; Chordata; Actinopteri; Semionotiformes; Lepisosteidae.
UGAUAUCCUUGGGGAGAGAGUUCCAGAGCUUGGGGGUGCAACAGGAGAAGGCCCUGUCACCCACAGAGUGUACAAAACACAUCAAUCAAAGGAUCUGCAGGUAAUGUGUGUCUUAACCAUUAGGAAAAAAAUUAAAUGAGAAUGGUUUUCAUGAUGGGCAGCACAGUGUGCAGCAGUUAGCAAUUCCAGGGGUGCAGCCUGGGAGAAGUUUGGAGGGCCAUUUUUUCUCAGAAACCAGUAACCUACCAGAAUGUCUGUGGGCUGUGCAAAGAAACCAGAGCACCUAGAGGACGGAAACACACAAAACCACAGGGAGAACGUAAGAACCACACAGGUGUCAUCCCAGGGAUGAAAAGGGACUCAGGAUUGCAAGGCAGCAAUGCUAAUCACUUUCCUCUUCUUGUCCGUCUCCCGAUUGUCCACCUGCGGCUUCUGGAUGUCCUCUUCUUGUCCGUGUCCUGACUGUCCACCUGCGACUUCAGUCUUUCCUGCUUCUUGUCCAUGUCCUGACUGUCCACCUGCGACUUCAGUCUUUCCUGCUUCUUGUCCAUCUCCUGGCUGUCCACCUGAGGAUUUGGAUUCUCCUGCUUCUUCUCCAUCUCCUGACUGUCCACCUGCGUCCUCAGACUUUCCUGCUUGUUGUCUGUCUCCUGACUGUCCACCUGAGGAUUUGGACUCUCCUGCUUCUUCUCCAUCUCCACCUGCAGCCUCAGACUUUCCUGCUUCUUGUCUGUCUCCUGACUGUCCACCUGCGGCCUCAGACUUUCCUGCUUCUUGUC